Molecule: ribosomal RNA, 487 nt
Filed under: uncultured bacterium
Lineage: Bacteria
Description: bacterial SSU rRNA
Rfam family: Bacterial small subunit ribosomal RNA
Source: RNAcentral
AAUCAACGCUGGCGGCGUGCCUAACACAUGCAAGUCGAACGCGAAAGCCCCGCAAGGGGUAAGUAGAGUGGCAAACGGGUGAGUAACACGUGGGUGACCUGCCUUAGAGUGGGGGAUAACGUCCCGAAAGGGACGCUAAUACCGCAUAACAUCCUGCCUUUGAAGAGGUGGAGAUCAAAGCCGGGGACCGCAAGGCCUGGCGCUCAAAGAGGGGCCCGCGCCUGAUUAGCUAGUUGGUGGGGUAAUGGCUCACCAAGGCAACGAUCAGUAUCCGGCCUGAGAGGGCGGACGGACACACUGGGACUGAGACACGGCCCAGACUCCUACGGGAGGCAGCAGUUAGGAAUUUUGGGCAAUGGCCGCAAGGCUGACCCAGCAACGCCGCGUGGGGAUGAAGGCUCUCGGGUUGUAAACCCCUUUUCUCGGGGACGAUGAUGACGGUACCCGAGGAAGAAGCCCCGGCUAACUACGUGCCAGCAGCCGCCGU